Myzus persicae (green peach aphid) is the source of this 484-nucleotide long non-coding RNA. RefSeq lists it as uncharacterized. The record is from RefSeq and is a predicted model, not a curated record. The transcript is spliced from 2 exons. Lineage: Eukaryota; Metazoa; Arthropoda; Insecta; Hemiptera; Aphididae.
AAGUCGAAAUCGGGCAAGUCUCAGGGAAAAAAAACGCCCAGGCAAAACGAGAACUGCCCACAACCCUUGGGCAAAAUGUCAUAUUUCGGAUUUUGACCGGACAAACCUAGUUAUGAGUGACCUAGCUAAAUAUAUCAGUCUUCAAAUUUAACGAUUUUAAGAUACGCACGUAUUUUCUACAUUUUGAAUUCUCUGGGUAAUCGAUAUUCAUGUGAUACAUAGAAAAAUUACGCUGUUUUAAAACGGAUAACACUCAAGACCAAUGUAUAUCAUAUUGCAAUCCAUACAUUAUUAAUUCAUACAGAAUAAGGUAACAGAAUAAAAAAAGGUAGUAAGUACCCAUUUUGUUUCAAAUUAAUAAGUAAGACCUAGAAAUUACUGGACCAGACUGAUACAAAUACGUCUUGAAAACACGAUUUUGUUUGAUAAAAAUAUGUCUUACAUUUUGUUAUUUUAAAAUACUAGUCAACACUCCAUACAUUAA